GCUGGACGUGGUGGCUCAUGCCUGUAAUCCCAGCAGCUGGGGAGGCUGAGGCAGGAGAAUUGCGAGUUCAAAGCCAGGUUUAGCAAAAGUGUGGUGCUAAGCAACUCAGUGAGACCCUGUCUCUA
Molecule: small RNA, 125 nt
Filed under: Marmota monax (woodchuck)
Lineage: Eukaryota; Metazoa; Chordata; Mammalia; Rodentia; Sciuridae
Source: RNAcentral